AACUUUUUUUAUGUGCAUAUUUGUACUAAGGUAAGUUAGGUUUAUUCGAACUAUUUUUGGUCUCAGAAUAUGUGAUUUCAUUUAUGACCUGUAUUUUCGUUACACCCUGUAUAAAAAGAUUGUUUCCACGGACAUUUUUAAAAUUAUUCUAAAUGUUUAUAAACUACAAAAUUUCUAAAAUUUGGCAUUGGGAUUUUUGACUAUAUUAAUUAUAUUUUUAUCUUUUUUUAAUAUAUUUUGAUACUAUCACUCUUCUACUUUCAUUUGUCAUACUCAGAAUUGCCCUAUCUUCAUUAUUUUCUGUCUUAUCUUAUUGAAAAGUAAAGAUCUCUGGGAUAAACAAAUAAAAUAAUUCUUAAACUAAUUAAUGGAUCGGUCUCAAAUUUUGAAGGUAUAUUAAGUACGCCAAUAGCCAACUUUGGGUGAAACACUAAAGUUCUAAGGUAGUUUUAGUAAAAGUUAUUAACAAAUAACGAUUUUCACUUAUUUUGCAGUUUGCGUAGCAACAAAUUAACUUUCUAACUUUAAAAAAUCGGCAUGUUGAAGGUUUUUCAAUGUUCUAAAAAACUGAAUUUUGUAAUUUCAUGUCAACUAUUUAGCUUUUGAAUGGAGUGCAAAAAUCGAAAGAAUUGCGAUUUUUGCACUAAAUUGUUAUUAACUAAAAAACGGACGCGAACUCUAGGCAGGAAACAGAUAGGUUUUCUUCCUGUAUGUCUACAAUAACUGAAAAAGUAGUCAGCUACCUGGAUCUUUAAAUGUUCCGAGAAAAUCCUUAUUACUCUGGACUAUAACGCUGACUGAUAAUUAGAAAGUCUAUUACACAUUAAUAACGGAAUUUUGUAAGAAAGUUAAUUAAUAUCCAGGAAAAUAAAACUUAUUUAAAGUAUCUUUUAUUAUUACAAUAGUUUUAGUUUACUGGACUUAUGUAGAUAAAAAAAUAGUUUCUUAAUAAUAUUAAAUACACAUUUUGUAUUUAACUAAACUGUUUCAGAGCUAAAUUAGUGCACGCACUGACGAUAGACGAAGAGGUAAACAUUGGUGUAGUUAAUUUUAUGUUAGGUACUGUUAGGUAUAUGUAAAUUAUAUGUUCUGUGAUAAUAUAUUAUUAUUAUUAAAUUAACUGUAUUACAUAAUUAUGUAAAUUAACUGUAUAUUCAUAUUUUAAUUUUUUAAAAACUUUCAAAUUGAUUUUUAGUAAAUUUCCGAGCAUUUUUCUGAUAUUUUUCUCCAGUAGCCCAUUCCACAAUCAAAGUUAUACUGUUUUUGAUUUAUAUUUGAAAUAUGUUAAAAUUUGUAUUUAAUGUAGAAACCUAAUCGAAUAGAAUACGCAUCAUUGUUAUAAAAUCAAUACAAUAAAUAAUACUAAAAUCAAUAA
Molecule: long non-coding RNA, 1375 nt
Organism: Diabrotica virgifera virgifera (western corn rootworm)
Lineage: Eukaryota; Metazoa; Arthropoda; Insecta; Coleoptera; Chrysomelidae
Exons: 2
Source: RefSeq, a predicted model, not a curated record